RNAcentral lists this ribosomal RNA (405 nucleotides) under uncultured rumen bacterium. Its description in RNAcentral is "bacterial SSU rRNA". It matches the Rfam family "Bacterial small subunit ribosomal RNA", at positions 509 to 916 of the family's 1533-position model. The record is from RNAcentral.
CAGCAGCCGCGGUAAUACGGAGGAUCCGAGCGUUAUCCGGAUUUAUUGGGUUUAAAGGGUGCGUAGGCGGCCUGUUAAGUCAGAGGUGAAAGGCGGUAGCUUAACUAUCGGAGUGCCUUUGAUACUGACGGGCUUGAAUGCAGCUGAGGUAGGCGGAAUGUGACAAGUAGCGGUGAAAUGCAUAGAUAUGUCACAGAACACCAAUUGCGAAGGCAGCUUACUAAAGUGUGAUUGACGCUGAGGCACGAAAGCGUGGGGAUCAAACAGGAUUAGAUACCCUGGUAGUCCACGCCCUAAACGAUGAAUACUCGAUGUUGGCGAUAUACGGUCAGCGUCUAAGCGAAAGCGUUAAGUAUUCCACCUGGGGAGUACGCCCGCAAGGGUGAAACUCAAAUGAAUUGACGG